UGGUUUUUUGUUUAUAUAAAAAAUCUGGCCUGCUCAGUGAAUUAUUAAAUAGCUGCAGUAUUUUGACUGUACAAAGGUAGCAUAAUCAUUUGUCUUUUAAUUGAGGUCUGGAAUGAAUGGUUUGAUGAAAAAUAUACUUUAUUUAUUUUUUAUAAAAAACUUAAUUUUUAAGUUAAAAAGCUUUAAAAUUUUUUUAUAGGACGAGAAGACCCUAUAGAACUUUAUUUAUAUAUUUUUAUAUUUUUUGUGGAUUAUAAAUUAAUAAUAAAGGUAUAUAAGUUUUGUUGGGGUGAUAAAAAAAAUAAUAUAACUUUUUUUAAUUUUUACAUUAAUUAAUGUAUAUUUGAUCCUUUAAUUUGGAAAAAAAGAAUAAGUUACCUUAGGGAUAACAGCGUUAUUAUUUCGGAGAGUUCAUAUCGAUGAAAUAUUUUGCGACCUCGAUGUUGGAUUAAAAUAAGAUAUAGAAGUAGAAUAUUAUAUUCUUGGUCUGUUCGACCUUUAAAUUUUUACAU
Molecule: ribosomal RNA, 512 nt
Filed under: Orthotylinae gen. ZANCGEN4 sp. Msp310
Lineage: Eukaryota; Metazoa; Arthropoda; Insecta; Hemiptera; Miridae
Description: partial large subunit ribosomal RNA
Rfam family: Archaeal large subunit ribosomal RNA (bases 385-512)
Source: RNAcentral